GGAUGAACGCUGGCGGCGUGCCUAAUACAUGCAAGUCGAGCGAACAGAUAAGGAGCUUGCUCCUUUGAAGUUAGCGGCGGACGGGUGAGUAACACGUGGGUAACCUACCUAUAAGACUGGGAUAACUUCGGGAAACCGGAGCUAAUACCGGAUAACAUUUAGAACCGCAUGGUUCUAAAGUGAAAGAUGGUUUUGCUAUCACUUAUAGAUGGACCCGCGCCGUAUUAGCUAGUUGGUAAGGUAACGGCUUACCAAGGCGACGAUACGUAGCCGACCUGAGAGGGUGAUCGGCCACACUGGAACUGAGACACGGUCCAGACUCCUACGGGAGGCAGCAGUAGGGAAUCUUCCGCAAUGGGCGAAAGCCUGACGGAGCAACGCCGCGUGAGUGAUGAAGGGUUUCGGCUCGUAAAACUCUGUUAUUAGGGAAGAACAAAUGUGUAAGUAACUGUGCACAUCUUGACGGUACCUAAUCAGAAAGCCACGGCUAACUACGUG
This 498-nucleotide ribosomal RNA is filed under the name uncultured bacterium. RNAcentral describes it as "partial 16S ribosomal RNA". It matches the Rfam family "Bacterial small subunit ribosomal RNA", at positions 27 to 507 of the family's 1533-position model. The record is from RNAcentral.